This 74-nucleotide transfer RNA is filed under the name bacterium. RNAcentral describes it as "tRNA-Pro". It matches the Rfam family "tRNA". From Rfam's summary of the family: Transfer RNA (tRNA) molecules are approximately 80 nucleotides in length. Their secondary structure includes four short double-helical elements and three loops (D, anti-codon, and T loops). The record is from RNAcentral.
CUGGGUAUAGCUCAGUCUGGUAGAGCGCUGGCUUUGGGAGUCAGAGGUCGAGUGUUCGAGUCACUCUGUCCCGA